AUUGAACGCUGGCGGUAUGCUUAACACAUGCAAGUCGAACGGUAACAGGACUAGCUUGCUAGUCGCUGACGAGUGGCGGACGGGUGAGUAACGCGUAGGAAUCUGCCUAACAGCGGGGGACAACCUGGAGAAAUCCAGGCUAAUACCGCAUACGCCCUACGGGGGAAAGAAGGCCUCUUCUUGAAAGCUUUCACUGUUAGAUGAGCCUGCGUUAGAUUAGCUUGUUGGUAGGGUAAUGGCCUACCAAGGCGACGAUCUAUAGCUGGUCUGAGAGGAUGAUCAGCCACACUGGGACUGAGACACGGCCCAGACUCCUACGGGAGGCAGCAGUGGGGAAUAUUGGACAAUGGGGGCAACCCUGAUCCAGCAAUACCGCGUGUGUGAAGAAGGCCUUAGGGUUGUAAAGCACUUUCAAUUGGGAAGAAAAGCAUACGGUUAAUACCCGUGUGUCUUGACGGUACCUUUACAAGAAGCACCGGCUAACUCCG
Molecule: ribosomal RNA, 488 nt
Filed under: uncultured Gammaproteobacteria bacterium
Lineage: Bacteria; Pseudomonadati; Pseudomonadota; Gammaproteobacteria
Description: bacterial SSU rRNA
Rfam family: Bacterial small subunit ribosomal RNA
Source: RNAcentral